UCAGCCGGUACUCCGAAUGCUCUAGAUUANAGUUUGAUCAUGGCUCAGGNCGAACGCUGGCGGCGUGCCUAAUACAUGCAAGUCGAGCGAACAGAGAAGGAGCUUGCUCCUUCGACGUUAGCGGCGGACGGGUGAGUAACACGUGGGCAACCUACCUUAUAGUUUGGGAUAACUCCGGGAAACCGGGGCUAAUACCGAAUAAUCUAUUUUACUUCAUGGUGAAAUACUGAAAGACGGUUUCGGCUGUCGCUAUAAGAUGGGCCCGCGGCGCAUUAGCUAGUUGGUGAGGUAACGGCUCACCAAGGCGACGAUGCGUAGCCGACCUGAGAGGGUGAUCGGCCACACUGGGACUGAGACACGGCCCAGACUCCUACGGGAGGCAGCAGUAGGGAAUCUUCCACAAUGGGCGAAAGCCUGAUGGAGCAACGCCGCGUGAGUGAAGAAGGUUUUCGGAUCGUAAAACUCUGUUGUAAGGGAAGAACAAGUACAGUAGUAACUGGCUGUACCUUGACGGUACCUUAUUAGAAAGCCACGGCUAACUACGUGCCAGCAGGCCGCGGUAAAUACGUAGGUGGGAAGCGUUGGCCCGGAAUUAUUGGGGG
This 602-nucleotide ribosomal RNA is filed under the name uncultured bacterium. RNAcentral's name for it is "bacterial SSU rRNA". It matches the Rfam family "Bacterial small subunit ribosomal RNA", at positions 1 to 560 of the family's 1533-position model. The record is from RNAcentral.